RNAcentral lists this ribosomal RNA (499 nucleotides) under Ganoderma lingzhi. RNAcentral describes it as "SSU rRNA". It matches the Rfam family "Bacterial small subunit ribosomal RNA", at positions 406 to 950 of the family's 1533-position model. The record is from RNAcentral. Lineage: Eukaryota; Fungi; Basidiomycota; Agaricomycetes; Polyporales; Polyporaceae.
UCAUAGAAUUUCUUCAAAUUCAUGAUGUCGUAAGGGAAAAUAAUGAUAAUACCUUACUAUGAGUGUCGUCCAAAUCUGGUGCCAGAAGACUCGGUAAGACCAGAGACGCAAACGUUAAUCAUCAUAAACAGGCGUAAAGGGUUUGUAGGCAGCUUUUAUAAGAUAAUAAAAAUCUAAAUUGAAAGCUAGAAUCAAAAAGAGGUUAUAGUGUAUAACGCCUAGAGGAGGGCUGAUAUCCAUAGAUCCUAGGCAGAAUACUCAGGGCGAAGGCCACUCUCCACUAAUGAUUGACGCUGAGAAACGAAGGUUAGGGUAGGAAAUAGGAUUAGAUACCCCGGUACUCCUUUCUGUAAACGAUGAAUGGUAGUCAUUAGUUUUAAUAAAUAACUAGAGGCGAAGUUAACACAAUAACCAUUCCGCCUUGUGAGUACUACUGCAAAGUAGAAAACAAAAAAAUUAGUCGGUCUCGAAGCAAACGGAGUGAAGCAUGUUAUUUAAU